ACUACGGGUGGCAGCAGUGAGGAAUAUUGGUCAAUGGACGAGAGUCUGAACCAGCCAAGUAGCGUGAAGGAUGACUGCCCUAUGGGUUGUCAACUUCUUUUAUAUUGGAAUAAAAUGUUCCACGUGUGGGAUUUUGUAUGUACCAUAUGAAUAAGGAUCGGCUAACUCCGUGCCCGCAGCCGCGGUAAUACGAAGGAUCCGAGCGUUCUCCGGAUUUAUUGGGGUUAAAGGGAGCGUAGGUGGAUUGUUCAGUCAGUUGUGAAAGUUUGGGGCUCAACCGUAAAAUUGCAGUUGACUCUGGCAGUCUUGAGGACAGUAGAGAUGGGCGGAAUUCGUGGUGUAGCGGUGAAAUGCUUAGAUAUCACGAAGAACUCCGAGUGCGAAGGCAGUUCACUGGACUGCAACUGACACUGAGGCUCGAAAGUGUGGGUAUCAAACAGGAUUAGAUACCCUAGUAGUC
Molecule: ribosomal RNA, 460 nt
Filed under: uncultured bacterium
Lineage: Bacteria
Description: partial 16S ribosomal RNA
Rfam family: Bacterial small subunit ribosomal RNA
Source: RNAcentral